GACCGUUGCAAGUUCCCGAAAGGAUUCAUUUGUGUAGCAAAUGAAGAUGCCUUGUAACCGACAAAUAUUAGGGGGAAUCAUCAUG
RNAcentral lists this small RNA (85 nucleotides) under Enterococcus saccharolyticus. RNAcentral's name for it is "SAM-III sequence". It matches the Rfam family "SAM-III riboswitch aptamer (SMK box)". RNAcentral also lists the same sequence under 1 other name. Lineage: Bacteria; Bacillati; Bacillota; Bacilli; Lactobacillales; Enterococcaceae. The record is from RNAcentral.